RNAcentral lists this antisense RNA (69 nucleotides) under Cryptosporangium arvum DSM 44712. RNAcentral describes it as "ASpks TB sRNA". It matches the Rfam family "ASpks TB sRNA". The record is from Rfam by way of RNAcentral. Lineage: Bacteria; Bacillati; Actinomycetota; Actinomycetes; Cryptosporangiales; Cryptosporangiaceae.
CUUGAUCGAACCCAGCCACAACGGCGUAUCCCGACCCUGGCCAUAGGUCGCCAACAGCGCCUGCGCCUC